GAUGAACGCUGGCGGCGUGCCUAAUACAUGCAAGUAGAACGCUGAAGCUUGGUGCUUGCCCCGAGCGGAUGAGUUGCGAACGGGUGAGUAACGCGUAGGUAACCUGCCUCUUAGCGGGGGAUAACUAUUGGAAACGAUAGCUAAUACCGCAUAAAAGUCGAUAUCGCAUGAUAUUGAUUUGAAAGGUGCAAAUGCAUCACUAAGAGAUGGACCUGCGUUGUAUUAGCUAGUUGGUGAGGUAACGGCUCACCAAGGCGACGAUACAUAGCCGACCUGAGAGGGUGAUCGGCCACACUGGGACUGAGACACGGCCCAGACUCCUACGGGAGGCAGCAGUAGGGAAUCUUCGGCAAUGGGGGCAACCCUGACCGAGCAACGCCGCGUGAGGGAAGAAGGUUUUCGGAUCGUAAAGCUCUGUUGUAAGAGAAGAACGAGUGUGAGAGUGGAAAGUUCACACUGUGACGGUAACUUACCAGAAAGGGACGGCUAACUACGUG
Molecule: ribosomal RNA, 497 nt
Filed under: uncultured bacterium
Lineage: Bacteria
Description: partial 16S ribosomal RNA
Rfam family: Bacterial small subunit ribosomal RNA
Source: RNAcentral